GGGCUAUUAGCUCAGUGGUAGAGCGCGCCCCUUUCAAGUCCAGGAUGGCCCA
This 52-nucleotide transfer RNA is filed under the name Ruellia speciosa. RNAcentral's name for it is "tRNA-Ile". Lineage: Eukaryota; Viridiplantae; Streptophyta; Magnoliopsida; Lamiales; Acanthaceae. The record is from RNAcentral.